This is a small nucleolar RNA of Cebus imitator (Panamanian white-faced capuchin), 206 nucleotides long. Its record names the gene SNORA73. It matches the Rfam family "Small nucleolar RNA SNORA73 family". From Rfam's summary of the family: U17 (SNORA73A and SNORA73B) also known as E1 belongs to the H/ACA class of small nucleolar RNAs (snoRNAs). The record is from Ensembl. Lineage: Eukaryota; Metazoa; Chordata; Mammalia; Primates; Cebidae.
CCAAUGUGGCUAUACCCGGGAGGUCACUUUCCCUAGGCUGUGUCCAAGUGGCAUAAGGGAGCACAGGGCUCUGCCCCCAUGAUGUACAGUCCCUUUCCAUGACAUUGGAGAUGAAGCUGGGCCUCAAGUCUGCACCUGCAUAUUCCUACAACUUCUUAGAGUCCUGUGGACUAUGAUGGAGGAGAUAAACCGUGCAGGAAACAGCC